AAAGACAGUGUAAAGAUGGAUGUAUACAAAUCUUUACACUUUAAUGUGAGAUCCUGAAAUGCCGCUAUUUUUUCACUGAUGUGCUCAGGAACCAUCCAUACAUGUAUCCAUGCAAACAUUCAUUUUUGUUACCUUCCUUUUCCUUUUCGUGCCACAGGGACCAGGUGCAUACCUCCAGUGGUCACUGUGUGAGAGGCGUGGUCCACCCUGGACAGAUCACAUGUCCAACACAGGGACACACAGAGGAAACACAGAGAGGAACCUCUGAGGUAUUGAGUUCCCUGCAUCCAUCAUUUUCAACGAGUUGGGAGCUCGGAACAGCGCCGGCAGCGUCUGCGUUAUCCAGCCGUAACUGACAUUGAGUGCAUUGUUUGCAGCUGGAAGCUCACGGCUGUGGCCUAAAGAGCCAUUUGUAAACAUCUUGAAGUGAAAUCCCAAGAGCAAACACUUCCAAAAGCCUUCAGCCGGCCGCUCUUCG
This is a long non-coding RNA of Austrofundulus limnaeus, 478 nucleotides long. RefSeq lists it as uncharacterized. The transcript has 3 exons. The record is from RefSeq and is a predicted model, not a curated record. NCBI's taxonomy places the organism in Eukaryota, Metazoa, Chordata, Actinopteri, Cyprinodontiformes, Rivulidae.